RNAcentral lists this long non-coding RNA (493 nucleotides) under Amborella trichopoda. RNAcentral's name for it is "long non-coding RNA (ATRI_LNC004969)". The record is from RNAcentral. Lineage: Eukaryota; Viridiplantae; Streptophyta; Magnoliopsida; Amborellales; Amborellaceae.
GAAAAUAUGACAUUACCUGAAAAUCUAUUACAUGAAAAUAGAUUACUCUAAAAUAUGACAUUUCUAUUGGUUAGGUACAUGGUAAAGAAAUGAAAAAAGAUUAUCCAGCGAAAUCUUUCGGGCGCCUCUUUCUACCAAAAAGAAAAAAAUUCUUCAACUCGUAGCUAAAAUGUUGUAGCCUAUCUUCUGCAACCAAUAGCUACCUUUGCUAACUGAAUCGCUCAUACAUUUAAACAUAAAAAAUCACACAGCAGCUCCAUCUUCUUCAAAGCUAAAACCCGUCAACUCCAUCUUCUUCAACUAGCAGUCGGCAGCCUCAUCUUCUUCAACUAGCACCUAAAAUUCAAAGCUAAAACCCUUCAGCUCCAUCUUCUUCAACUAGCAGCCGGCAGCCUCAUCUUCUUCAACUAGCACCUAAAAUCCAGUAGCCCAUCUUAUUUUUUGGCUUUAUUUUUUUUUUUUGCUGUUAUUCUUUGCUGAUAAAUUCGAAAUA